This 74-nucleotide transfer RNA is filed under the name Ruficoccus amylovorans. Its description in RNAcentral is "tRNA-Gly". It matches the Rfam family "tRNA". From Rfam's summary of the family: Transfer RNA (tRNA) molecules are approximately 80 nucleotides in length. Their secondary structure includes four short double-helical elements and three loops (D, anti-codon, and T loops). The record is from RNAcentral. Lineage: Bacteria; Pseudomonadati; Verrucomicrobiota; Opitutia; Puniceicoccales; Cerasicoccaceae.
GCGGGCGUAGUUUAGUGGUAAAACCUCAGUCUUCCACACUGAUGAUGUCGGUUCGAUUCCGUCCGCCCGCACCA